CCCCGGGCUCAACCUGGGAACUGCAUCUGAUACUGGCAAGCUUGAGUCUCGUAGAGGGGGGUAGAAUUCCAGGUGUAGCGGUGAAAUGCGUAGAGAUCUGGAGGAAUACCGGUGGCGAAGGCGGCCCCCUGGACGAAGACUGACGCUCAGGUGCGAAAGCGUGGGGAGCAAACAGGAUUAGAUACCCUGGUAGUCCACGCCGUAAACGAUGUCGACUUGGAGGUUGUGCCCUUGAGGCGUGGCUUCCGGAGCUAACGCGUUAAGUCGACCGCCUGGGGAGUACGGCCGCAAGGUUAAAACUCAAAUGAAUUGACGGGGGCCCGCACAAGCGGUGGAGCAUGUGGUUUAAUUCGAUGCAACGCGAAGAACC
This 370-nucleotide ribosomal RNA is filed under the name Escherichia coli. RNAcentral's name for it is "bacterial SSU rRNA". It matches the Rfam family "Bacterial small subunit ribosomal RNA", at positions 601 to 970 of the family's 1533-position model. The record is from RNAcentral. Lineage: Bacteria; Pseudomonadati; Pseudomonadota; Gammaproteobacteria; Enterobacterales; Enterobacteriaceae.